RNAcentral lists this ribosomal RNA (468 nucleotides) under uncultured bacterium. RNAcentral's name for it is "partial 16S ribosomal RNA". It matches the Rfam family "Bacterial small subunit ribosomal RNA", at positions 28 to 507 of the family's 1533-position model. The record is from RNAcentral.
GACGAGCGCUGGCGGCGUGCUUAACACCUGCAAGUCGAACGGAAAGGCCCUGCUUUUGUGGGGUGCUCGAGUGGCGAACGGGUGAGUAACACGUGAGUAACCUGCCCUUGACUUUGGGAUAACUUCCGGAAACUGGGGCUAAUACCGGAUAGGAGCUCCUGCUGCAUGGUGGGGGUUGGAAAGAUUCGGCGGUUGGGGAUGGACUCGCGGCUUAUCAGCUUGUUGGUGGGGUAGUGGCUUACCAAGGCUUUGACGGGUAGCCGGCAUGAGAGGGUGACCGGCCACAAUGGGACUGAGAGACGGCCCAGACUGGUACGGGAGGCAGCGGUGGGGAAUAUUGCACAAUGGGCGGAAGCCUGGUGCAGCGACGCCGCGUGCGGGAUGACGGCCUUCGGGUUGUAAACCGCUUUCGCCUGUGACGAAGCGUGAGUGACGGUAAUGGGUAAAGAAGCAGCGGCUAACUACGUG